Molecule: ribosomal RNA, 494 nt
Filed under: uncultured bacterium
Lineage: Bacteria
Description: partial 16S ribosomal RNA
Rfam family: Bacterial small subunit ribosomal RNA
Source: RNAcentral
GACGAACGCUGGCGGCGUGCUUAACACAUGCCAGUCGAACGGAAAGGCCUGCUUUCCCUUGUGGAUUGCGGGUACUCGAGUGGCGAACGGGUGAGUAACACGUGAGUGAUCUGCCCCCAACUUGGGUAUAAGCCUGGGAAACUGGGUCUAAUUCCCGAUAGGACUGCAGGGUGGUGCCUGUGGUGGAAAACGAUUUUCUAGUGGUUGGGGAUGAGCUCGCGGCCUAUCAGCUUGUUGGUGGGGUAAUGGCCUACCAAGGCGGCGACGGGUAGCCGGCCUGAGAGGGUGGACGGCGACAUUGGGACUGAGAUACGGCCCAGACUCCUACGGGAGGCAGCAGUGGGGAAUAUUGCACAAUGGGCGGAAGCCUGAUGCAGCGACGCCGCGUGGGGGAUGACGGCCUUCGGGUGGUAAACUCCUUUCGACCGCGAGGAAGCCACCUGGUUGGAAGGGUGGUGACGGUAGUGGUAGAAGAAGCACCGGCUAACUACGUG